CAGGACACCAGAAGACAACGCCAAACAGUUCUGAGACCCGGGAGAGGCAUGCUGUUGCUGUGGCUGCGUUACAGAGGAGAACACAGGGCCACAGAGACCAAGCAGCUCAUCAAGGGUCACGCAACCAGCAACGCCAAGCGAGGCCUUGAACCGUGUCUGCGUGACGCCCAAGCCUAGGUUGGUACCCAGUGCAGAGCCCUCACUCCUGCCUCCACAGCCCUGCUCCUGACUUGCCUCCUCCCUUUGAAGAAGCUUUCCACAUCCUCCUGGGCCGGGCUUGGGGAAAUGCAGAAACACCAGGACAGCACGGCGCAAUGAAGAGGCACAAACCACGAUCAUUAAGCAAACCAGACCGCCUGGGAGCAAGUCUGGGUUUGGCUGAGAUUUGGCUCUGUGACCUUUGUCUCUGUCUCUGUCUUGGGGGAGUGCACACAUCCAUGGAGCCUCUGACCGCAGGGAAGCCAGAACUGGCCACAGAACUGAGUCAAGGUAGCAUCCCGACCUGCUCACCCUCUCCCAGGCUGAAGGCUUCUGUUCCCUUCCAAAAGAAGCAUGUUCAAACCAACGCAUGUUCUCGAGCACCUGCUGUGUCC
RNAcentral lists this long non-coding RNA (593 nucleotides) under Equus caballus (horse). RNAcentral describes it as "lncRNA (ENSECAG00000057897.1)". Lineage: Eukaryota; Metazoa; Chordata; Mammalia; Perissodactyla; Equidae. The record is from RNAcentral.